UUUUUUUUUUUUUUUUUGAGACAGGGUCUUGCCAUAUUGCCCAGGCUGGUCUCAAACUCCUGGACUCAGGUGAUCCUCCUGCCUCAGCCUCCCAAAGUGCUGAGAUUACAUGCAUGAGCCACCAUGCCCAGUCUAAAUCAGUGAUUCUGCAGGUAUCUGGUUAUAAGAAUCCCCAUGUGUCCAUUUGUGGUGGAGGGGUGUGGAGGGAGGGAGUGUUUGAUAGAAACACAGACCCCUGAGGCUUACUCCAAACCUGCUGAAUCAGCUUUCCAGUGCACGUGGGUGAGCCAGGAGGCCUCAUUGAGCCACUGGGGACAGGAGGGUAAGGCCAGCAUAGAGAUGGAUGUGGCUUAGGGUGAACACCCAUCCCUGUUUGCUUGGGACUAAGGGAAAAGUCCUGAUCAAACUGGGAUGAGUUGGUCACCCUGAUGCGGCUCCUUCAAAUAACGUCCAGUGGGAUGGCCUGGCCAGAGCUCUGCUCAGUUGAAGCAUCGCUCCAGGCCCUCCCUACCCCGGAGAGGGAGCACUACACAGUAUUUCCCUGGGGGGUCCUGACCCUCCCUCCUCCGAUGUACCCCCACCCCAGCAGGUCUCCCCAUCUCUGUUAUGCAGACUUCCAUCAUUUUUGGGUCUCAUGCUUCCCUUGCCCCUAUCAAGCCUGGCUCUCAGGAAAGGAUGACUUACCAGUUAUUAACACCUUAGAAUUAAUUUCAGCAAGUGUAUUGCUUUUCCUGGGGGUCUUUGUAUUUGAAACUUCCUUCUUGAGAGUGGAAGAAGUAACUAACUUUUUUUUAGGAGGGGUGAUAUUUACGCAAUGAGGUCACAGGCUCAGGAAAGAGAUGUCUGGACCGAUGCUGAGCAGUAACACCUAUUCUUGCAAAGACGGCCCCAGGAGCUCUGCAGGACACUCAAGGGGUGUCUUCUACCCCCGAGGGAGACCCUGGGCCCCUGGGCCCCUGGGCCGUCCUGGCCAGCCUUUGUCUUGACUUCCCCCGAGAAUGGUGAAAUCUUAGCUUUUGAGCCAAGAAUAUUGUUUUGAAAAAAUGAAACGCCCAGCGAGUCCCUAUAGUCCCCAAACCUCAUUUUAAAGGGAUUACAGCAGCUGGCUUGUAAAUCCUGUUUCUUAUGGUGGGGGGCUUAGAGCAGGGCUCAGGAAGAGACUAGGGUGGGGGAAAGAAAGGAGGUCAUUUCAUUUCCUGGAGAGGAAAGCCAGGCUCUCCUCCACUGUGACGCCUGGGAUGGGGUUCACUGUCCCCACCAGGGAAAAUGGAGGGGGCAGGAAAGCUCCUGGACUUGGAGUCUGGCCACCAGAGCUCCACUCCCAGUUGUACCAUCAAUUCACAGGCGACCUGGGGGCCAUCCCUGGACCUCCUCUGGGUCUCUGUCUCCUGCACGACAAGGAUUUGAAAAUUAAAAGGAAGAGUUUUGAUGUCUUUCCUUCUUCUCUUACGCUCCAAGCAGGGUACCCUCUCUGUGGGCUCCCC
This 1484-nucleotide long non-coding RNA is filed under the name Macaca fascicularis (crab-eating macaque). RNAcentral's name for it is "lncRNA (ENSMFAG00000049918.1)". The record is from RNAcentral. Lineage: Eukaryota; Metazoa; Chordata; Mammalia; Primates; Cercopithecidae.